ACUGCACUGUACUGCACAAGCUUCGCGUCUACUCCCUCCCCCCCAAAAUGGCGCAUCCGGUGGCGGAGGCCGACGAGAAGAGCCCCUUCGGCCGCCUCACCGCGGAGGAGUUCUACGCGCGCCACGGCGUGGUCAACUCCUCCUCCACCUUCGUCAACCCGCGCGGCCUCCGCAUCUUCACCCAGCGCUGGGUCCCCGCGGGCGUCGACGCGCCCCUCCUCGGCGCCAUCGCCGUCGUCCACGGCUUCACGGGGGAGUCCAGCUGGAUGGUGCAGCUCACCGCCGUGCACUUCGCCAAGGCCGGCUUCGCCGUUAACCCAAUACGAGAUUAAUCAAAAUUUAAAAUAAAAAUAAAAUAAAAUCCAAAAUUAGAAAAGAAAAGGAGAGACCAUGUAGGAAUACAAUUUAAAAAUAACUAAAAUUCGAAAUUAAAAAUAAAAAAUUAUAAAAGAAGAAUCUAUAUAAAAACCCAAUACGAGAUUAAUUAAAAUUUAGAAUAAAAAAUAAAAUAAUAUUCAAAUUUAGAAAAAAUAAAAGAGAGGUCAAGUAGGAAUAUAAUUUUAAAACAACUAAAACUGAAAAUAAAAAAUAUAAAUAUUAAGGAACACAAUACGGUAUUAUUAAAAUUAAAAAAAAUAAAUUCUGAAAUUAGAAAAAGAAAAGAGAUUUCAAUUAGCAAUACAAUUUAUAAAUAACUAAAAUUUAACUAAAAUUCGGAAUUAAAAAUAGGGAAUAUUGAAAGAAGAGUCCAUAUAAGAACCCAAUACGAGAUUAAUUAAUAUUUUAAAUAAAAAUAAAAAUAAAAUCUGAAAUUAGUAAAAAAGAAAAAAAAGAUAAGAGUUCAACUAGGAAUAUAAUUUAAAAUGAAUUAAAUUCGGAAUUAAAAAUAAGCACUAUUGAAAGAAGAAUCCAUAUAAGAACCUAAUAAAAGAUUAAUUAAAAUUCAGAAAAAAAAUAUCCAAAUUUAUAAAAAUUAAAAGAGAGUUCAAGUAGGAAUACAAUUUUGAAACAACUAAAACUGAAAAUAAAAAAUAAAAAUAUUAAAGGAACACAAUACGAUAUUAUUAAAAUUUAAAAUAAAAAUUCUGAAAUUAGAAAAAGAAAAAGAUUUCGAUUAAGAAUAUAAUUUAUAAAUAACUAAAAUUAGUGAUAAAAAAAUAAAGAAUAUCUCUACUAUUAUAAAAAUUGAAGAUGUUUUUGCCAAGAUUUUGAUACGUUGAAGAUGUUUUUUCAACGAAUUUCGUACGUCGUCUCCUGAUAGCUGACGUCGCGAGUCCGUGUCAAGUUACUCCGUAACCAGGGCUCGAUUGAUUACCGUUGCUUUUAUAUAAUUGUGACACGGAUUGGUGGCGAUACACGCUGCACAGCUAUUGGCUGGUCCUGUUAACACCGGGAUUUCCUGCUCGCUGCGGAUUAAUGACUGUAAUCCUUUUUGAAUAAAAUUGUUUUCUUUUUCUGUAGAUUAUCCAGAGUAAUCAUGGCAUAUGUAUAUGAAAUUAAAUAAGAUAUUGCCUACACUCAAAUUAAAUAUUUGGAGACGACUCCCAGUCGGGCGCCUGUCGCGCCUGGAGAAAUACCUUUUACAGAACGCUAGUGUAUUAAUCCUCGUCCUAGAAAAAGCCAGGGUACACCACACAAACAUUAGAUAAAAGACACAUCUUUAUUAUAUCGAUAAUAUUUACAUUAUUACAAAGGCACUUCAGGCCUGACAAACAAAAAUAAACAGCAACUGUAGGUGAAGUGGGCCCAGGGGUAUGCGGAGUAAGGGAAAACUACCUUCCCAUCCUGGCGCAUGACCUACAGCAUGGCUCUACCCUCGUACCCCCGGGGUCGAACGAGCGGUCAGGGGGCCUCGAGGGCCUCGAGGUACCACGUCAAACCUCUCGGGCCCUCGCGCCGUCUUACCCCGAGGGCUCGGGGUGCCACGUCAUAUCCCUCGGGCCCUCAGGCCGUCUUGCCCCGAGGCCCCCGCCUGUCCACCAUUUGGCGGGGGAAGCGAGUGGGGAGAGAGAGCCCAUGCUAAGCCUUCUUCAAUGAAACACAGCGCCCCAACUGCCCCCUGCCGCAUUUAAUGCGGUAGGGGCAGACUCGCGGCGUACGCGACUGGUGCAUGGCAGACAGGAAUGACCGGUCUGUGACCGACCUGUCACCAGUCGCGUCUGACUGGAUGGACAGCUGCACCCCCAUGUCACAUCUGCCUCCAGCGGAGUGGAGGCAGGUAUGACCCGUCCCAUCGGGAGGGUCAUUCGAGAUCCUCCCCGCCGGAGGACGGCCACCAUGGUUCUUCAUCCAUUAAUGGGAGAAUGACAAGGAUGUCCCCUGUGUCAGGCAAGGGACGGUGCUGGGCCCCACUCCAAAGAGAAACCAUGGCUUAGCUUCCAAGCCAAGGCACAAGACAUGUAAUUAAUGUAGAGAAUAUUUUCCCUUCUCCCUAGGUAGAUCUCGGAGCAUGUGUGGUAUCUCCUUAGAAUAUAAAAGGAGGGCCACGUCUAGUGAAAAGGGGGAUCAGACUCUGGACCCAGGGGGGAUAGCUUCUCUAACUCUAGCUUGUACAUCUCAGAUUCGGAGGCUUCCCGACCACAGAAGAAUCAUCAUACAAACAGGAGUAGGGUGUUACGCUUCACACCGGUCCGAACCUGUAUAAUCUCGUUGUGUGCAUAUUAGCUGAUAAUUUAGGGGGCGGGUACGUGACUUCUAGAGGCAGGCCCUUUCCCCUGGCCGAACUCACAAAAGGAGGAUCCCACGAUCUCCCGCUCGAGAGGAUCACUCCUCGACAGCUGGUGCGCUAGGUAGGGGGAAGUCUGCGCGCUUCGAAAGGAAGUUGUUUCCUUCCGCCCCAAGUUUUCCUGCGGCCCCGACGAUCAUGGUCGAGGUUUUAGAGGAAGAAAUGGAGAUGCAUACCCCACCCCUUCCGGGAGUGAAGAUGCCAGCGGGAGUCGCAACCCGCGUCACCGCAGACGCGACUAGCGGACUCCACCCCCCCGCGACCCCCCGCAGAGGGAGAUUCCCGAUCGAUCGGGAGGCUCGGCCCUCUCCCCGCCUCUGGAUGGGGGGAGGCCGGGGCAUGUUCGAGCGCGCCGCCAGCAGCUCGCCUCAGGGCGCACUUCAGGCGGCAGGAGCCCUUCUGCGCCAUCCUCCGGUGGACGCGGAUCCGGAGGCCCCCGUCCGACGAUGGUUGGAUGACGUCGCCAACAUCGUCACCACUGCCCAGCAGCAGUUGGCCGCGAGUGGCCGUUCCGCCGACACAGGUACGUCACGUACCUCUACCGUCCUCUCCUCGUCAGCAAGGAGAAGGGCCCGUCGGAUAGCCACGGCCUCAAGGCGAUCUGCGACCCCAACGUCGUCAGGGGUCUCGGAAAGCCGGAGGCGUCAUGAUGGCCUGUACGGGGGGGGGGGGGGGGGGCAGGACGCUCGAGUCAGCAUUGAGCGUCAACGAGACGAGCGCCGCGCUACCCGCAUGGGAGAAAGCGCCUCCUCGUCUGGAGUGCCGCGUUCCUCCUCGUGCGGCGGCCCGUCCCUCACGUCCACCCCAGGGGGAACUGGUUGGAGGGCCUUCGUGGCGAGUCUCCGGAAUGUCCGGUGGCCCCCGAAGUUUCUCCCCAACCUCACAGAGAAGUAUGAUGGCAGCAUCAAUCCCUCCGAGUUCCUCCAGAUCUAUACCACGAUCAUCGUGGCAGCGGGAGGGGAUGACCAAAUCAUGGCGAAUUAUUUCCCCAUGGCUCUUAAGGGUCAGGCGCGCGGAUGGCCUAUGACCCAGCCCCCCGACUCCAUCCACUCCUGGGAGGACCUGUGACAGCAGUUUAUCACAAACUUCUAGGGCACAUACCCCCGUCCGGGGGAGGAAGCGGACCUACACGCUGUACAGUGGAAAGACGAUUAGUCCCUCCGCUCAUACAUACAGCGCUUCUGCCAGGUCUGCAACACUAUUCCGUGCAUCCCGGCCCACGCGAUCGUUUAUGCGUUUCGGAACGGCGUACGGCACAACCGCAUGCUGGAGAAAAUUGCCUCCAAGGAGCCUAAGACCACUGCCGAGCUCUUCGAGCUAGCGGACAAGGUGGCUCGGAAGGAGGAGGCGUGGGCUUGGAACUCCCCUAGCACCGGAGCGGCGGCGGCAGCCGCCCCCGAAACUGCCCCCCGCUCCAAGCGGCGGGAUAGAAGGGGCAAGCGGAAGAGUCAGCCCGCUCUGAUGACGAGGGCCAUGUCCUUGCGGCUGAUGGGCCCUCGCGGGCCCCGCGCAAGGAAAAGACCACCGGCGGCAAGCCGAGCCCUACCGCCCCUUCCGGUGAGGGUCGGUCGGCGGACAAGUGGUGCUCGGUGCACAAUACUUAUCGGCACAGUCUCGCCGAUUGCCGCUCGGUCAAGAACUUGGCCGAGCGGUUUCGGAAAGCCGAUGAGGAGAAGCGGCAAAGUCGACGGGAGGGCAAAACUCCCGCGACCCCCGCCAAUGAUCUGCGGGAGGAGUCUAAGAAGAAGGCCCCCGCCGAUGAUGGCGAUGACAGCGAGGGUCUGGAAUUCCAGAUACCUUAGGGAACUGUCGCCACUCUCGAUGGGGGGCUUGCGCUUACACAUCCCGUUGUGGAAUCAAGGCCAUGAGGCGUGAGCUUUUGGCCGCCGUCCCGACUCACGAGGCGGCACGGAAGGCGCGUUGGUCGGAGGUGAAGCUCACCUUUGAGCAGAGCGACCAUUCGACGGUGCUCGCCCGGGGUGGGAGGUUGGCUCUUGUGGUCUCCCCAACCAUCCACAACGUCAAGAUGAAGCGAGUCCUGGUUGACGGGGGGGGGGGGGGGGUGGGGGAGCUUGAGCAUCAUCUCCCCAGCCGCCUUCGACGCGCUCAAGGCCUCGGGGAUGAAGCUCCAGCCGUCCUUGCCGAUCAUCGGCGUGACCCCGGGGCACACGUGGCCUCUCGGCAUCAUCGACCUCCCGGUGACCUUCGGCAACCCCGCCAACUUCCGCACCGAGCGGAUCGAUUUUUAUGUGGUGGAUCUCAAUCUGCCCUACAACGCGGUCCUAGACAGGCCGGCGUUGGUAAAGUUCAUGGCUGCCACCCACUACGCCUACCUCCAGAUGAAGAUGCUGGGCCCUAAUGGUCCCAUCACAGUCUCUAGCGAUGUCAAGGUUGCCCUCACCUGCGUGGAGUUGCGCGCCGACAACCUGGCGGUGGCCACGGGGCGGCAGACCCCGGAGGCCUCCGUGUCCCGCGCUUCCAAGAAGCGCCUCGCCUUGGCUGAUGAGGUACCCAUCAAGGAGAUCCCCCUGGCGAUGAUCCGUCCAAAACCGCCAGAAUUGGCGGGACCUUGGACGCUGCAUAGGAAAGCGCGCUCGUCUCCUUCCUGCGGGUAAACUCCGACGUCUUCACAUGGAAGCCGUCGGACAUGCCUGGGGUCCCCAGGGAGGUGAUCGAGCACCGGCUUGCUGUGCGGCCGGACGCGCGGCCUGUUCGGCAGAAAGUGUGGUGUCAAGCCCCGGAGCGGCAAGCCUUCAUCCGAGAGGAGGUGGCGCGGCUCCUGGAGGCUGGCUUCAUCCGUGAGGUGAUCCAUCCGAAGUAGCCGGCAAACCCGGUGGUUGUCCCGAAGGCCAACGGCAAACUCCGGAUGUGCGUCGACUACACGGACCUCAAGAAGGCAUGCCCCAAAGAUCCUUUCCUUUUGUUGCGCAUAGAUCAGAUAGUCGACUCCACUGCGGGGUGCGACCUUUUGUGUUUUCUAGACGCCUACUCUGGGUAUCACCAGAUCCGCAUGGCUAGGGAAGAUGAGGAAAAAACUGCUUUCAUCACUCCUGUGGGCACCUUUUGUUAUACAACUAUGCCUUUUGGUUUAAAAAAUGCAGGCCCUACCUUUCAGCGUAUGACUCGUAUUACUUUGAGUAAUCAGAUAGGGCACAAUGUAGAGGCAUAUGUUGAUGACCUAGUGGUAAAGACGCUCCACCAGGAUACGUUGUUGCAUGAUUUGGCCGAGACUUUUGAUAGUCUUAGGUCCACGCGCAUGAAACUGAACCCCGAUAAGUGUGUGUUCGGUGUGCCGGCGGGCAAACUCCUCGGUUUUCUAGUCUCCUCCCGAGGCAUAGAAGCUAAUCCUGAGAAAAUACGCGCGAUAGAGAGGAUGUGCCCCCCCAGCAAGCUUAGGGAUCUACAGUGCGUCGCUGGAUGCAUGGCCGCCCUAAGUCGAUUCAUAUCGAGGCUGGGUGAGAGGGCGCUGUCCCUAUUCAAACUCCUCAAACGCUCCGGGCCGUUUGUAUGGACGGAGGAAGCAGAGCAAGCUCUCAAUAAGUUGAAAGCUUACCUCACCUCCCCCCAACCUAGUAGCCCCAGGACUAGAGGAGCCGUUGCUACUCUACUUGGCUGCAACCCCCCAUGCGGUGAGUGCCGCCCUAGUAGUUGAACGCAACGAGAGUAGGCCAGGGGCCCCCUCAACUGGUGAUGGCCCCUCGUCCCCCCAAGACCCGAUGCCCGAAGCCCCCAACCCCUCGGAGGGCCCCGAGGCCCCCGCAGGAAGAGGAGAGGCUCCGACAGGCGCCCCCGAGGCCUACGAUCGCGACAUGAUCCGAGAUCCCCCUGGGGUUCCCGAGCACGAGUACCCCGGACCAGUUGCCCCUGACAUCGCGAACCGGCCCCACCGGAAGGUGCAGUGGCCUGUCUACUUUGUCAGUGAGGCGCUCCGAGACACGAAAACCAGAUACCCACAGGCCCAGAAGAUGCUUUAUGCAGUCUUAAUGGCCUCAAGAAAAUUGCGCCAUUAUUUCCAAGCACAUCGGGUUUCCGUUGUAAUGUCUUGCCCUCUUGGUUAGAUAUUGCACAACCGAGAGGGCACCGGUCGGGUAGUGAAGUGGGCCAUCGAGCUUGCUGAGUUCGACCUGCACUUCAAACCGUGGCACGCGAUUAAAAGCCAGGUUCUGGCUGACUUCGUCGCAGAAUGGACACCGGUGGAUGACCCUCUCCCAUCCGAUCUCCCCUCCCUCCUUGGAGAUGGUGAAGACCCGAGCACCAACAUUCACGCUGGGCACUGGGUUAUGCACUUCGAUGGCUCCCUCAACCUUCAUGGUGCAGGGGCUGGAGUCAUACUAACUUCGCCAACUGGGGAUGUCCUUAAGUACGUCGUUCGGCUCGAUUUUCGAGCCACGAACAAUAUGGCGGAAUAUGAAGGACUCCUCGUAGGGUUGAGGGUGGCGGCCGGAAUGGGCAUCCGCCGCCUCCUAGUCUUAGGCAAUUCCUAGUUGGUCGUGAAUCAGAUCUCCAAGGAAUACCAGUGCACCGACCCGCAAAUGGAGGUGUACGUACGUGAGGCGCGGCGUGUGGAGCGCCACUUCGACGGACUCGAGCUCCGGCACGUGCCCCGGCGCGACAACGCAAUCGCUGAUGAGUUGUCGCGUAUCGCGUCGGCGCGAGCCCCACUCCCUCCGGGGACCUUCGAGGAAAGGCUCGCGCGGCCGUCGGCACAAUUGGACCCCCCGAAGGGCCCCGGCGCUACAACCUCCACCCCGAGCCCCGAUAACCUGCGGGCCUCGGGGCCCGAGGGGGUUGACCCCGACCCCCCUCGUCACGUCGCCUGGAUGGCUCACAUCCGGGCGUACCUCGACAAUAAUACUCUUCCCGAGGAUCGCGCGGAAGCUGAGAAGCUUGCGCGCAUUUCUAAGCGGUACGUGCUCGUAGAAGGGACCCUCUACCGAUGCGCCACCAACGGGAUGCUCUUGAAGUGUAUCUCUCGAGAACAGGGCAUCGAGCUCAUUGCCGACGCCCAUGAGGGUGAGUGUGGGGUGCAUUCCGCCUCGCGCACCUUGGUCGGUAAGGCCUUUCGGCAAGGUUUUUACUGGCCGACCGCGUUGCAAGACGCACAGGAGUGGGUCCAGCGAUGCAAGGCGUGCCAAUUCCACGCCAAGCAAACCUACCAGCCGGCCCAGGCUUUACAGGUCAUCCCGCUCUCUUGGCCCUUCGCAGUCUGGGGGCUAGACAUCCUUGGGCCAUUCAAAGCGGCUCAAGGUGGGUAUCAGCACCUGUAUGUCGCCAUUGACAAAUUCACCAAGUGGCCCAAGGCUUACCCGGUCGUCAAAAUCGACAAGCAUUCCACCCUCAAGUUCAUCAGGGGCAUCACGUCCCGGUUCGGGGUGCCCAACCGUAUCAUUACGGAUAAUGGCACACAGUUCACCAGUGAACUGUUCGGCGACUAUUGCGACGACAUGGGUAUCAAGCUAUGCUUCGCCUCGCCCGCCCACCCCAAGAGCAACGGCCAUGUUAAGCGAGCCAACGCAGAAAUCCUCAAGGGCCUCGGGCCGCUUCGGUCGCUCGGACUUUGACCCCUGCAAGGGUUCGGACACCGACGCCCCCUGGGAAGGAAUCCCGCUGCAGAAGAUCCCUGACCGUGUUAGCGAAGGAAAAGAAGAAGAAGCAACAAGGGGCUGAUACGAGUAAAGAGCACCGAGGCGGAUGCCGACAAUCGUACCUUAGGGGGGGUGGGGGUUGAAGGUCCACUUCGGGGGCUCGAUAAAGCUUCCCCGGCACGGCUCUGUCUGGCCUAUCUUUCGGAGCCGCUUCUUCUUUCGCCCAAAUUCGGGAGUGACUGGGCGCUUGCGCCCCGCCGGUGGUCGGUCCGCCGUGCGUUCGGCACCCCUUCCGUGCGGGGGAGAGGGCGGUCGGGAUCCGGUCGUUUUUCGCUUCCCCUUCGGGUCGCUGGCCGAAUCUCCGCCCAGACCGCGGCUCGGGCCGGGUACCCUGGAGCUGCCGCCCCCGCCGGGACCGCUGGCCCGACUCCCGCCUGCGGUUGCACCGCUGCUGCCCACACCAACGGCGCCCCCACCUACAUUGCUCCGCCGGGACCGAUCCCCGCCGGCACCAACAGCCAACAUUACCACCAGGAUUCUCUCCCGGUCGCGGUCGCUACAGAGGGGAAGGAUUCCGGAUUCCGUCUGGAAUCAGUGUUUGCUCGGCGGAGUCCAGACCCAGCACCCGCCGAAUGUCACGCCCGAAAUUUCUAUCCAAAAUUCCAAACGCUUACAUGUGUGUGAACCCUCGUCUAGGAAUCAGCCGAGGCACACAAUAACAAAUUGAUAAUAGAGUACAAUUAUUACUCUAAUUAAUAAGCAAAUAAAAUGUCAUUACAGAGGUAGAUAGUUCCUCUCAAUCAAUAAAAAUCUAAGCAGCGGAAGAAUAAGAUAAACGGCGCAGACGACUCCACUCCACAGGCAGCUUGACCAGGGCUACACCUAAUCCUCCACACCAUCAGCAUCACUGUAGAACUCCUCCUCUGAUGAAUGAUUGCAAGGUGAGUAUAUGACAUACUCAGCAAGCCACGCAGCAAAUAUGCAAGUGCACAGGAUAACAAAGGAUGGCAUAGUAGGGUUUCAUUUGCAUAAACAGCAUUUAAUGAACAUUUCUGAAUUUAAUAAAAUAGUUAAGUAAUAAUUAAACAAUAUUAAUCCAACGCUAUACAACAUACCCUGUUGCAUAGGCCCAACCAUUCUGAACAACCAUCCCGGCUGCACAGUUCUAUCUCCAAACCAGGAAUAUACCAUUCCAAACCAGGAGCUAAUCAAAUUAUUACCAGUUAUAGCAUCUUUUAUUAUGGUGAGAAGUGUGAAACUAAUCACGAAAGACAUUGUUAGACCCGCCCAUAACCGCGGGCACGGCUAUUCGAAUAGUUUUACUCUGGCCAGAGGUGUACCACUAUACCCACAAGACACAGCCCCACAACAUGUCACCAUGCGCCUCAAUACCACCACGGUACCUCAGAAAGGAGCUGUGACAGUACCCCUCGCACAACACAAUCCACCACAGCGCACCGUUCCUGGAUCAUAAUCACCCCCUUAUAAACAAGGCAUGGACUCCCCAGCGACCCCCGUGGGCUUAUCUCCGCCACUUCUCAGUCUGGUGCUCCACAAUGAACCAUGCUAUACAAAAGGUAAAGCCGUUGCCCACGCUGGCUUGUGGUUGGCACGGUUAAUGUUUCACAACCGAAACUCGUGAACCGGUCCUUAAUUGUCAUGAGCACGACCAUCAAAACCAUGUGCUCACAACCCACCAUUAUCAAGUUUUAGUUGGCAAUUUAAUUAAUUAACCAAUCACGAUUGACCAUCGUGAACUAUCAUUAAGCCAUCAUUAAAUAAUAGUGAUUUAUAAAUUAUCCCAAUAGUGUGCUAAUGUUUCUAAGCAUGGCUAAGCAAUCAUAUCUAAUAUCUAGCUGAACCAAUAUAUAAAGCUCAACUAGUCAAGUUAUAAUAACCCAAGGUAUCAAGGAAUAAAGUAAUCAAGAACAAAAGGGCUAUAACAAACAAUAGGUUAAUUCCACCCAAUGACAUUCGAAAAUAAAUGCAAUAGUUGAAUAGAAACAAUAGCUUUAAACAUGAUCAACAUGCUCAAGGGUUGUUUGGGAUCUGUGUGACUUGCCUUGCUGGCCUUGGAACUCUUCAAAUUCUUCUCCUGCAAAAACGGACUCUCCGGAAACGUCGGAAUCUAAAUAGAAAGGAGCAAAAUCACCAAACAGCACAUAAACAAGCAUGAACAGUAUAUGUGGAUAUUUUUAACAUGUAGAUCUAAAUUUUAGAAAAAUUUAGAGACUUGAACCAACUAAAUCCGAGCUAAGAUGAAUUAGUUAUGAAUUUUCAAAGAUUAAAUCGGAUUAAAACACUUAUAUGGGUUUUAAUUGAAUUAUGACGCAAUAAUGAAUUAUUUUUGAAAAUGAAAAAGGGGUUUAUUGCGUCAGCGGCUAGGGUUCGCGGUGAACCGGGUGCACGGCGGCGGCUCACGGAAACGAACGGCCGAGAUCGAUUCAUCCAAAACGGACGGCCAAGAUCCAUCGGUCCACGACCGGGCCACGGGAAACGACGACGAUGACGUCACCACCGGCGGCGGCUCGGGCGCGCAAGCUCGCCGGCGAACGACGGCGCGACGACGCGAACGGAGGACACCAACACGUAGAGGGCGACGCGGCGAACUCACCGGUUACCAAAACAACGGCGGACGAUCAACGGACGGCGACGGCAUCGAGGAAGAAGCGGCGGCGACCUUCGGCUUGACGACGGCGACGGUGUUCCGGCGGCCUACGGCGAUGACGGAGGGGCGGACGAGGUCGGCGAGCGGGCGGCUUGGCUGCGGGCCGGAUUGGGCCAGGAGAGAGAGAGAAGGUUUUGGGCCGACUUUCGGCCCAAAGCCAAAAGAGAACUUUAAAACCUUUUCUAAUUUAAAUUAUUCAUGAAAUGCAAUUCCAUUUAUUAAAAAUACUUCCUUAGCUCAAAUAAAUCCCAGAAAAAUCUAGGAAUUAUAGAAUUAAGCAAAGUAUUUAAUGAAAUUUUAUCUGGCCCCAUUUUAUAUUGGAAUUUAUUAAUUAAAACUAGAUAUUCUCUUCUAGGCUUUUAAAAUAAAUUCUAAUAAUUCCAAUUUAGACAACAAUUUAUAUAUUUGGGAUUUUUAGGGUGUGACAAACCUACCCCCCUUAAACAGAAUCUCGUCCUCGAGAUUCUGAAGAACUGGCGAACAAAUGCGGAUGAGCUGACUUUAAUUCAUCUUCUCGUUCCCAAGUUGAUUCUUCUUCCGAGUGAUUACUCCACUAAACUUUACAAAAACGGAUAACUCGAUUCCUGGUUCUUCUCUCAUCUGUUUCCAAGAUACGGAUUGGUUUCUCAACAUAUGUCAGAUCCUCUUGGAUUUCUAUCUGUUCAAGACUAGCUUCCUCAGUGGGUACCCUUAAACACUUUUUCAACUGUGACACAUGGAACACAUUAUGGACUCCUGCCAAAGAUUGUGGUAACUCCAACUGAUAAGCGACCUCUCCUCUUCUACUAACAAUCUUGUAAGGUCCCACGAAACGCGGUGCCAAUUUUCCUUUAGUGUGGAAGCGAUGAACCCCUCGAAGAGGCGUGACACGAAGGUACACAUAAUCUCCUUAUUCAAAACUCAAAUCUCUGCGACGAUUGUCGGCAUAACUCUUAUGGCGAGACUGAGCCUCACGCAAUCUUUCUUGAAUGAUCUUUACCUUCUCUUCUGCUUCCCUUAGGAUAUCAGUCCCGAAAACCUGACGUUCUCCCGUUUGAUCCCACAAAAGCGGACUGCGGCACUUCCGACCAUACAGUGCUUCGUAAGGAGCCAUCUGAAGACUAGCUUGAUAACUGUUGUUGUAUGAGAAUUCCGCAUAAGGUAGAUUCUUAUCCCAACUUCCACCGAAGUCUAAAGCACAAGCUCUCAACAUGUCUUCCAAAAUCUGAUUUACCCUUUCGGUUUGUCCGUCUGUCUGCGGAUGAUAAGCAGUACUAAAGUUCAGCUUAGAACCCAUCUCUUCUUGAAGUUUCUUCCAAAACUUUGAAGUAAACUGACUUCCCCGAUCGGAUACGAUCUUCUUAGGAACACCAUGCAAACACACAAUCCUUGCCAUAUACAAUUCCGCCAAACGACUUUCGGAAUAUGUUGUCUUUACUGGGACGAAAUGAGCCACUUUGGUAAGUCUGUCGACUAUCACCCAAAUAGAGUCAUGGCCUGAUGACGUUCUAGGUAGACCAGUGAUGAAAUCCAUACCGAUUUCCUCCCACUUCCAUUCAGGAAUCUUCAAAGGCUGCAGCAAACUUGCGAGUUUCUAAUGUUCUGCCUUGACUCGCUGACAAACAUCACAUACUGCUACGUAUUCCGCUAUCUCACGCUUCAUACUUGCCCACCAAAAUCUUUCCUUGAGAUCCUGGUACAUCUUAGUACUACCAGGGUGAAUGGAGUAUAAAGUAUCAUGGGCUUCCUUUAGAAUUGCAUCUUUUAAAUCUUUGUUGUCUGGGACGCAAAUUCUCUCACCCAACCAUACAGUUCCUUGCUCAUCUUCCAAGAAACCGAUAGCUUUUCCUCUUCUCAUAUUCUUCUUAAUUUCUUGAAUAUCAGGGUCGUUAAUUUGAGCUUCUCUAACUUGAUCAAUUAGAGUGGGCUUUGCUUCUAGGGCUGCAACGAAACCUCUACUGACAAUUCCCAAAUUUAAUCUUUCAAAUUCCUUGCAUAACUCCAAUGGCAACUGUCGUCCUUCCGUAGCAUUGCAAUAGCCUUUCCUGCUAAGAGCAUCUGCUACAACAUUAGCCUUUCCCGGGUGAUAAUGAAUUCCCAUGUCAUAAUCCUUAAUUAAUUCCAACCAUCUCUGUUGUCUCAUGUUCAGAUCUGGCUGAGUAAAAAUAUACUUUAAACUCUUGUGAUCAGUGUUCACCUCUGUACGAGUACCGAAAAGAUAAUGACGCCAAAUCUUCAACGCAUGAACCACUACAGCUAACUCAAGAUCAUGAGUAGGGUAGUUCUUCUCAUGCGGGCGUAACUGACGAGAUGCAUAGGCAACCACCUUCCCAUCUUGCAUCAGAACACAACCUAACCCAAGUUUGGAUGCAUCACAAUACACUUGGAAACCCUUCUUUGGAUCAGGUAAAAUCAAAAUAGGAGCUGAUAUUAAGCGACUUUUCAACUCUUGAAAACUCUGCUCACAUUCUUCUGACCACUUGUACUUCACAUCUUUCUGAAGCAGCCGUGUCAUGGGCUUAGCAAUCUUGGAGAAUUUCUCUAUAAACCUCCGGUAAUAACCUGCAAGACCCAGGAAACUGCGAAUCUCUGAAACUGUCUUUGGUUGUUUCCAGUUGGUUACGGAUUCCACAUUACUAGGAUCAAUGGCAACUCCUCCGGCUGAGAUGACGUGACCAAGAAACUUCACUUCAGACAACCAAAAUUCACACUUGCUAAACUUGGCAUACAGUUGAUGUUCUCGUAGCUUCUCUAGUGCAAGGCGAAGAUGUUCUUCAUGCUCUUCUUUUGUUCGGGAGUAGAUAAGAAUGUCAUCAAUAAAGACCACCACGAACUUGUCUAGGUAUUCCAUAAACACCUUAUUCAUCAAGUUCAUGAAGAAAGCGGGGGCAUUGGUAAGUCCAAAAGACAUAACAGUACAUUUAAACAACCCAUACCUAGUGGUAAAAGCCGUCUUAGGUAUAUCUUCUUCUUUAAUCCUCAACUGGUGAUACCCUGAUCGAAGAUCUAUCUUGGAAAAAACGGUGGCACCUUUAAGCUGAUCAAACAAAUCAUCAAUUCUUGGCAGCGGGUACUUAUUCUUGAUAGUCACAUCAUUUAGUGCACGAUAGUCCACACACAUCCUCUGGGUAUGGUCUUUUUUUUCCACAAAAAUAACUGGAGCUCCCCAUGGAGAUGAACUUGGUCUGAUGUAUCCUUUCUGAAGCAAAUCAUCUACUUGCCUCUUGACUUCUGCUAAUUCAUUGGCCGCCAUUCUAUAAGGUCUCUUAUGGAUCGGAGUUGUUCUUGGUACCAGAUCUAUUCUGAAUUCAAUAUCUCUUUUAGGCGGCAUACCAGGUAAAUCGUCCGGGAACACGUCCGGGUAUUCCUGUACUAUGGGAAUCUCUUCCAAAGCUAUUUGGUUCAGACUUGACCUUAAAGAUUCAGAAGACAAUGCAUGAACAGUUACAACUCGACCAUCAUUGUUGGUGAGAGUUACUUUUCUGUUGGCACAGUCUAUCACACCUUUAUAUCUGGCUAACCAGUCCAUCCCUAGGAUGACAUCAAGGUCUUUGGCUUCUAACAGAAUAAGAUUGGCAAGAAAUGGUACUCCUUGAAUUUCUAUUCUGACAGAGGGGUUACGUUGCAAAGAGAGUGCUUGAUUACUCGGGGUACUAACCAUCAAAGGACGUCUAAGAUCCUCUACUUCCAUCCCAUGAUUUCCCGCAAAACUCAUAGAUAAAAAUGAAUGGGAAGCACCGGAAUCGAAAAGCACUGUUGCAGGAACUGAGUUAACAAGGAACGUACCCAAAAUCACAUCUGGAGCACCUUGAGCUUCUGCAGCAGCAACAUGAUUGACACGAGCCUUUGAUGCUGGUGCGGUAGAGUUGCUCUGGGCAGGGACAACCUUCACGCGUCGGGGCUUCGGAUACUUGUCAGCGUAAUGUCCUGGGUCUCCACAGUUGAAGCACACCCCAGGCUUGCUGCCUUGCUCCCUCUUGGCAGGCUGUUGCUGUGUCGAAGCUGCAACAGGGCGUGGAGCUUGAUUGCGGAUGUUGUUGCCCGCGUUGUUGUUGAAGAACUCACGCUGCGAACGAACAACAGACGAAGAACCUCCCUGUGGCAUGGACUGGGGUCCUAAAGUAAGACGCGGCCUCUGACUAUUCCCCUGUUGUGCCUUGAAGUGAGCAAUCCGGCGUUUCUUCUGCUCCAUGCGGUUGUACUUGUCCUCCUGGCGAAUAGCCUUAUCCACUAACCUCUGGAAAUCAUGAUAAUCCCCAGUCAUGAGUGGGUAAGAAAGCUCAUUAUUAAGUCCUUCCAAGAACCUCUCCUGGCGCUCUUCAUCAGUGCGCACAUCUUCCGGAGCAUAACGAGCCAGACGAUUGAACUCGUGCAGAUACUCGGUGACCGUGCGAGAUCCCUGGGUGAGCGACCUGAAUUCCUUCUUCUUGAGAGACACCACUCCCGAUGGUAUAUGCGUCUUCCGGAAAGCAGCGGUGAAUUCAAGCCAAGUGAUAGGUUCAGCAGUAGUCCUGUUAAGGCGGAAGUGAUCCCACCACUCAGAGGCAGGGCCAUGCAGUUGGUGUGAUGCAAAUGAGACCUUUUCCUGAUCAGUGCACUGAAGCAAAUCUAACUUCUUCUCUAUGGCAUGCAGCCAAUCACCAGCUUUAACAGGAUUAGUAGUGCUAGAGAAAGUGGGCGGCCUCACACAAAGAAAUUCUGCCAACUUGUUCUGGGGAGGUGCAUGGUUAUUUCCCUGGUUCUGCUGGUUCUGAAGUUGCUGCAUCAUCAUGUUCAUAAGCUGUGCCUGUUGAGCCAGGACUUGGGCAAGUGUGGGAUUCUCUCUAUUGUUGUUGUUAUUCUUGAUGUUGGGACCAUUCCCGUUGCUGCGAGUGAGCACCAUCUGGCAUGGGCAGGAUCACAAGAAGAGAAACCGGGGAAAACUACUUAGGACAGAGAAUUAAUUUUUCUACUAACAUAACUUUUAUUGAUCUUAACUGAGUUUCAUUAUUACAGAACUGAAGACUCUCACACCACUAAACUCACCAACUACCUAACACUCGAAAGCAAACAAACGCAUGCGCUUACAUCCCACCACUGAUGUAAACCACAUGCAGGACCCACACACACAACCAAACUUAAACAAACAAACUAACACAACGAUCUAAGACAAUGGCUUGACAAGGCACUCUAGGUCUUCCGGGCAUCGGAGUUGAUCGAAGGCUCGUUCGGUUCGUCUCCAUCAUCUUGAGUUGCUCCCCACUCGAUCUUGGAAUGGGUGCGCUUCGAUUCUUCUCCUUCAUCAUCACUUACAUUGACGACCGGAGGAUCCGCUAGGGCUGGGGUAACUUCUUUCUCCACCACACGGACCUUUGGCGCCAAUUGGUAGCGAGGGAUGAAUAGAGCUCUCUUCCUUGCGGUAAGACGAACCCUGGCCUUCUACGGUGGUGCUUCUCCCUUCAAUGCGGCUAGUUCCUUCUCCAAACGAUCCACCUUGUCCUCUAGCUUGCAAAUCUUACCACGAUUCCGGUCUUCACGAUCUUGAGCUGCUAACACAGUCUCCGCGCGGGUCUCAUCCAUAGCCCACAGCAUCUCAACCAAAUGCCUUGUGGUAGCAUCAUUCUCAAUCCCCUCAGUCUCAAGGUAGCUGCCACGGUCACUUCCCUGGGGUUGGCGAGGAUGGUAGCGAUACUCAGUGUCGGCCAACUGAUCACUGUAGCGAUCGCGGAGCUCUCCUAUGGCGAUCCUUGCCACCUCCUGACAUGCAUGAAUGUAGUUUCCUCCUCCAGCUUCGAACAUCACUGAUAGGAUAUCUUCACUAUUACUGUUCAAGGUGACUUUGACUUGGCACUUCUCUUCAUCACGAUCAUGAGGAAUCUGGGCAUACAAAGGGGCAGUCCCAAAUCCUAUGGCAAAGGACAUCGUACGCAACUCCUGGACAAAUCCCUCAACACCAAACAAAUACUCAGGCUUGUAGCGCGGCAUCUAAAGACAAGUGAAAGGAGGGAGUUAAGACAUUUAUCCAAUUAAUAGCACAAGUUUUUGGAUUAAUUUGAAUAAAGUUAGAAAAUCAAAGUAAAAGGUAAGUAAAUAAAGUAAACUAAGCUUGCAAGAUAAGUUAAAACAGUUGGAACCAAGAUCACAAAUUUUGCACUUUUGAACAACAGGUUCCAAAAGAAAUAAAAGAAAGUUAUAAAAUCAACAUGCUAAAUUUAUUUCAUUGCAGCAAGAUUAAAUAAAACAAUGUUGUAAAACUUUUGCUGGUAAAUGGGCCAUUAGUACAGUAAUACAUGUACAGUACUAACAACACUGGAAUAAAUUUUGAAUGAGAACCACUAAAAGAGAUUAUGAAGUGCAUGUGCUAUUAGUUUGGUUUAAUUAAAAGAGAAAGGGAGGAGAACAGUUCUACUUUUCCAAUAUUUUUAGAGGGCUCCUGAGGGUAACCAUUUGGCAUAACCUAGGGUCAAGGAGGCUCUGAUACCAACUUGUCACGCCCGGAAUUUCUAUCCAAAAUUCCAAACGCUUACAUGUGUGUGAACCCUCGUCCAGGAAUCAGCCGAGGCACACAAUAACAAAUUGAUAAUAGAGUACAAUUAUUACUCUAAUUAAUAAGCAAAUAAAAUGUCAUUACAGAGGUAGAUAGUUCCUCUCAAUCAAUAAAAAUCUAAGCAGCGGAAGAAUAAGAUAAACGGCGCAGACGACUCCACUCCACAGGCAGCUUGACUAGGGCUACACCUAAUCCUCCACACCAUCAGCAUCACUGUAGAACUCCUCCUCUGAUGAAUGAUUGCAAGGUGAGUAUAUGACAUACUCAGCAAGCCACACAGCAAAUAUGCAAGUGCACCGGAUAACAAAGGAUGGCAUAGUAGGGUUUCAUUUGCAUAAACAGCAUUUAAUGAACAUUUCAGAAUUUAAUAAAACAGUUAAGUAAUAAUUAAACAAUAUUAAUCCAACGCUAUACAACAUACCCUGUUGCAUAGGCCCAACCAUUCUGAACAACCAUCCCGGCUGCACAGUUCUAUCUCCAAACCAGGAAUAUACCAUUCCAAACCAGGAGCUAAUCAAAUUAUUACCAGUUAUAGCAUCUUUUAUUAUGGUGAGAAGUGUGAAACUAAUCACGAAAGACAUUGUUAGACCCGCCCAUAACCGCGGGCACGGCUAUUCGAAUAGUUUUACUCUGGCCAGAGGUGUACCCAUGUACCCACAACACACAGCCCCACAACAUGUCACCAUGCGCCUCAAUACCACCACGGUACCUCAGAAAGGAGCUGUGACAGUACCCCUCGCACAACACAAUCCACCACAGCGCACCGUUCCUGGAUCAUAAUCACCCCCUUAUAAACAAGGCAUGGACUCCCCAGCGACCCCCGUGGGCUUAUCUCCGCCACUUCUCAGUCUGGUGCUCCGCAAUGAACCAUGCUAUACAAAAGGUAAAGCCGUUGCCCACGCUGGCUUGUGGUUGGCACGGUUAACGUUUCACAACCGAAACUCGUGAACCGGUCCUUAAUUGUCAUGAGCACGACCAUCAAAACCAUGUGCUCACAACCCACCAUUAUCAAGUUUUAGUUGGCAAUUUAAUUAAUUAACCAAUCACGAUUGACCAUCGUGAACUAUCAUUAAGCCAUCAUUAAAUAAUAGUGAUUUAUAAAUUAUCCCAAUAGUGUGCUAAUGUUUCUAAGCAUGGCUAAGCAAUCAUAUCUAAUAUCUAGCUGAACCAAUAUAUAAAGCUCAACUAGUCAAGUUAUAAUAACCCAAGGUAUCAAGGAAUAAAGUAAUCAAGAACAAAAGGGCUAUAACAAACAAUAGGUUAAUUCCACCCAAUGACACUCGAAAAUAAAUGCAAUAGUUGAAUAGAAACAAUAGCUUUAAACGGGAUCAACAUGCUCAAGGGUUGUUUGGGAUCUGUGUGACUUGCCUUGCUGGCCUUGGAACUCUUUAAAUUCUUCUCCUGCAAAAACGGACUCUCCGGAAACGUCGGAAUCUAAACAGAAAGGAGCAAAAUCACCAAACAGCACAUAAACAAGCAUGAACAGUACAUGUGGAUAUUUUUAACAUGUAGAUCUCAAUUUUAGAAAAAUUUAGAGACUUGAACCAACUAAAUCCAAACUAAGAUUAAAUCAGAUUAAAACACUUAUAUGGGUUUUAAUUGAAUUAUGACGCAAUAAUGAAUUAUUUUUGAAAAGGAAAAAGGGGUUUAUUGCGUCAGCGGCUAGGGUUCGCGGUGAACCGGGUUCACGGCGGCGGCUCACGGAAACGAACGGCCGAGAUCGAUUCAUCCAAAACGGACGGCCAAGAUCCAUCGGUCCACGACCGGGCCACGGGAAAUGACGACGAUGACGUCAGCAGUGACGUCACCACCGGCGGCGGCUCGGGCGCGCAAGCUCGCCGGCGAACGACGGCGCGACGACGCGAACGGAGGACACCAACACGUAGAGGGCGACGCGGCGAACUCACCGGUGACCAAAACAACGGCGGAAGAUCAACGGACGGCGACGGCGUCGAGGAAGAAGCGGCGGCGACCUUCGGCUUGACGAUGGCGACGGUGUUCCAGCGGUCUACGGCGACGACGGAGGGGCGGACGAGGUCGGCGACGGCUUGGCGAUUACGACGGUGCCUUUCCCGAGCGGCAACGACGACCGGAGCGACGGCGACGCACGGCUGGAGCUGCGGCGGCGAUGGCGGCGCGAAGCUACACGGGGCUAGGGCGCUACGGGCGGCGGCGGACGAAGACGAGGGUGGCGACGGGUAGCGGCGGGCUUGGGGGUCCUUUUAUAGGGGUUGGAAGGCAGCGGCGAAGGCCCACGGCAACCGGCGAUGAGAAGGAAAGAUUAGGGUUCGGAGGAGAGAGACGAAUCCAAUUCGAGAUUGAAUCCACGGAUUUCCAAACGAAAUUAGCCGACGAUUCCAUAAGAGAAAAGAUAAAGGGGAUCCCGGGGAUCAUUUCCCCUCUAUUAAUUUCACCGGAAACAGAAAGGGGCGGCUGGAUUUGGAAGGAGACGACGGCGGCGCGGCGCUAGGGUUCGGCCGGGCGACGGCGCGAGGAAGACGACGGCCCUGACAGGUGGGCCCCACCUGUCAGCAGGCGGACGCGCGCGCGCGAGCGGGCGGCUCGGCUGCGGGCCGGAUUGGGCCAGGAGAGAGAGAGAAGGUUUUGGGCCGACUUUUGGCCCAAAGCCAAAAGAGAACUUUAAAACCUUUUCCAAUUUAAAUUAUUCAUGAAAUGCAAUUCCAUUUAUUAAAAAUACUUCCUUAGCUCAAAUAAAUCCCAGAAAAAUCUAGGAAUUAUAGAAUUAAGCAAAGUAUUUAAUGAAAUUUUAUCUGGCCCCAUUUUAUAUUGGAAUUUAUUAAUUAAAACUAGAUCUUCUCUUCUAGGCUUUUAAAAUAAAUUCUAAUAAUUCCAAUUUAGACAACAAUUUAUAUAUUUGGGAUUUUUAGGGUGUGACACCGAAUCACCGUUUUCGCAUCCUCCUCGCCCCAGUCCCAACGCUCACCCACAUGAGUGCGCAUGAGAUCGUUGGGUCCAAUAUACUUCCACGCUUCGCGGGACCGCUCUUGGAGAGGUGCGAUGCGGCAAUGGAAGUAAUCACCAAAGACCAUCGCCCCCGUAAGGCCCUGGCUUCGCAGGCCCCUGAGGCGGUCCCGCACGGCGUCGUACUGCUCGCCCAGCUCCGAAGCCGCCAACCAUGCUGCGGACCUUUCGAGAGGGCCGGUGGGGAGUCGAAGCCGCGGGUGGUCCGGCAGCGCGGUGUAGAACCAAUCCUUCUUCUAGUCCUCCCACUUCUUGCGGAGAUGACUCUCAAUGUAUUGCCCCGCCGUGCCGGGCCGGGGCUGGAAGUAGCAUCCCCCCACCACUGCACCUUGCAGCAGCUGCGGGACGAAGAAGAACUGGAACAAUCGCAUCGUCUGCCGGACCCUAACGAACAUCUCACACAGAUGCGCGAAGAUGGCCAGCGUCAUCACGGCGUUGGGUGCGAGAUGCAAGGCGUGGAUCUCAUAGAAAUCCAAAACCUCGUGGAAGAACCUGGAGAAUGGAGGGACCAACCCCACCAUGGCGAAGGACAGGAGGUGCACGAAUCGAUCCGAGUACCGCGGUCGCGGUCGCGACUCCCCCGCCCUCAGGGCGGCCCCCUCCGGCAUAAUCUUGCGGGGGAGGCUAAGGUGCCUAUCCGCCGUGAUGUGUGAUGCCGGAAGCACAGCGUCGCCAGCACCUUGGGCCAUGGUGACUGGCGGUGAAGCGACGAGAGGUUUGGUGUGUGAAAUAGCGUGGAGUGGCGAAAGCGUAAGGGCUUAAGGAGCGCGAGUGCGGGUGAGCAGUCAGAGAGAGAGAGGAGGCGAAGUCCCCGCCUCCGUAUCCUUUUAUCCCUGCCUUGCCCGCGCCUGCCUCCUCGUUUCACGCCCACACGAUUGCCCCCAUGAUUCCCGCGCCAGCAGUUGCCUCAUCUUUUCCCGCGCCUACAAUUGCCUCAUCGUUUCCCACGACCGCUCAUCACGCCGCUCGCUGAAUCCACGCCCCGCAUUUAGUGCUCCUGUCAGCGGCUCACUCGGCGUAGGGCGUGCGACAUUCGCAGGCGCAGACUAGGCGGACUGCCGUCAGUAUCGCCGCGUAUAUGGCGAACGAGGAGAUCGAGGUAUGGUCCAACCGACUCCCGAUUUUCGUGCCUAAGGCGCCCCCAUCAUCAGCAUGGUUAGUGGCGAUCGAAUCGCCGUUAUUAUUGGCACGCCAAUCCGGCCGCUUGGCAGCGUCUGUCUACAUUCUCCGCCGGGCCCACGACCCAGCUUAGGAGGUCAAGAGGCGCCAUGUCAGACCGACCUCAGGAGGCCAACGUCUGACGCGGUGUCGGGGGCUACUGUCGGAGAAGUGGGCCCGGGGGUAUGCGGAGUAAGGGAAAACUACCUUCCCAUCCUGGCGCAUGACCUACAGCAUGGCUCUACCCCCGUACCCCCCGGGUCGAACGAGCAGUCGGGGGGCCUCGGGGUGCCACGUCAUACCCCUCGGGCCCUCGCGCCGUCUUACCCCGAGGGCUCGGGGUGCCACGUCAUAUCCCUCGGGCCCUCGGGCCGUCUUGCCCCGAGGCCCCCGCCUGUCCGCCAUCUGGCGGGAGGAGCGAGCGGGGAGAGAGCCCAAGCCGAGCCUUCUUCAAUGAAACACAGCGCCCCAACUGCCCUCUGCCUCAUUUAAUGCGGUAGGGGCAGACGCGCGGCGUACGCGACUGGUGCAUGGCAAACAGGAAUGACCGGUCUAUGACCGGCCUGUCACCAGUCGCGUCUGACUGGACGGACAGCUGCACCCCCAUGUCACAUCUGCCUCCGGCGGAGUGGAGGCAGGUAUGACCCGUCCCAUCGGGAGGGUCAUUCGAGAUCCUCCCCGCCGGAGGACGGCCACCACAGUUCUUCAUCCAUUAAUGGGAGAAUGACAAGGAUGUCCCCCAUGUCAGGCAUGGGACGGCGCUGGGCCCCACUCCAAAGACAAACCAUGGCUUAGCUUCCAAGCCAAGGCACAAGACAUGUAAUUAAUGUAGAGAAUAUUUUCCCUUCUCCCUAGGUAGAUCUCGGAGCAUGUGUGGUAUCUCCUUAGAAUAUAAAAGGAGGGCCACGUCUAGUGAAAAGGGGGAUCGGACUCUGGACCCAGGGGGGAUAGCUUCUCUAACUCUAGCUUGUACAUCUCAGAUUCGGAGGCUUCCCGACCACAAAAGAAUCAUUAUACAAACAGGAGUAGGGUGUUACACUUCACAGCGGCCCAAACCUGUAUAAUCUCGUUGUGUGCAUAUUAGCUGAUAAUUUAGGGGGCGAGUACAUGACUUCCAGAGGCGGGCCCUUUCCCCUAGCCGAACUCACAAAAGGGGGAUCCCAUGAUCUCUCGCUCGAGAGGAUCACUCCUCGACAGCAACGCACUAGCGGGCAUACGGCUCCAUCUUCACAGGCGCUCAACUGGGAUAUAAGCCAGGACUCCACUUAGGACUUCUUCUCCAAAGCUUCUCUUACUGAAGGGGGGAAGAUAGAGCAAGAAUGAGUACAACCACAGUACUCAGCAAGCCACACCGGGAGAUGCAUGAUUAAUACAAGGGGUACAAGGGGAUAAUAAUAGGGGUUAUGUUUUGCAGUAAACAGUAUUCAAAAGUCACUUAAUUGCUCAAAGCUAUUUUGUAAAUACGAUCCUAGAGCUACACAAUAUUAUUAAUCAAGGCUGUGAACCCUCACGAACCUGCCUUAACCCAAGGCCUACGAUGAUUCAGACCGAACUGGCAACCCGACUUGGGUCCCAGCUCGUCCCAAGCCAACCCUAUCCAACCAUUACACAUUUUAGUUGUUAAGCAAGUUUUAAGAAUUAAACCACUAACUUGGGUACAUUGCUAGGCUUACCCAUAUCCGAGGGCACAGCUAUUCAAAUAGAUUUACUCUGAUCAGAGGCGUACAUCUUUACCCACAAAACACAUCUUUACUCCGCAUUCCAUGGCCUUGGAACCCGUCGUAAACAUGUGACAUAACCCUUAACCUAUCCGAGCCGUGAACAAAAGUACCGACCCAACCCUACCUACGGGCGGUAUCCCGGACAAGCAGGCUAGGAUUAAGUCCCUAGCAACAGGAUCUAGACCGGGUGCGCCACACACAUAGGGGUGAGACCACCCGCGUACUAGUCCAGUGCCAUGGCAUCUCGACUAACGGGCUCCGACCCGUGUAGCCUUCAUUUGCCUAGACAUCUCGAUUACCGAGCCGCAGCUCGUGUAGCCUUCAUUUGCCUCAGAGAUAUCUAUCGUCGCAAUGACUUUAUCCAUCUCUAUCCGUCUCCUUUUGUUCAGGACUAGACUAAGCACCGAGUUAAGCCUUACCCAUUAGACAUGUGGUUAGUACGGUAGUGCUUUGCAACAGAGGCCCGAAGACCGGUCCUUAUGAUAGCCGAGGUGCUCCUAGCAAAACCAUGCACCUCGAGCCCAGCCUAAAACCAUUUUAGAAGUUUUGAAUAGAGGGGGGGAGUUGUGUGUUCAAUUGCAUCACAAGUCAACCAUUUCACAAUGUCCAAAUGAUAUGAGAACUCCCAAAGUCUAAAGUUAUAAAACCAUCUAGUGUUGCCUAAUUAAUCAGCGAAGCAUCUACCUAAAUUCAUACUAGUGGAACCAUGAAAGGAGUACCCACUAGUUGGGGUUUUGUUUUCUUGGGGUAAGCAAGGUGAUAAUAACAAUUGCAAUGAUAAGGCUAUAACAAGGAUUAAUAGGUAAUGCUAAAUAAAACAGUGAUAACGCGGGAAAUUAAAUAAAGCAGUAAUGCAAUAAUUUAAAUCAAAAUAAUUUUAUAAACUAGGAUUCAAUAUGCUUAAGGAUGAUGCAACUUGCCUUGCUAAGAGAGAACGGCCUUCCGAACCUUCGGCGACGACCGCGAACCACGCUUCGAGAACCUCCAGAACGACAGAAGCUACGGGAAGUACACAAACAAAGCUACAAGCCUAUAAAGAAGCAAUAACAAUACUUAAAAAGAAAGCACAGGGUUCUUUAGGUUAUAACAAACAUUAUAAGACUUGAACGGGUCGAUUCGGAGUUCGUAGGACCAAGAUAUGGUCAUCCGAAGUUUAAUGUUGUUACAUGGAGAUUUACGGAUUAUUGUAAUUAGGCUUUGCAACUAUAAAACAUGUGUAAGCGCUAGCCUGGAAAAGACAAGAAGGCUGCGCCGUUAACAUGCGGACCCCACAUGUCAACCUAAAGGACCGCUGUAGACCGAGUACACAGAGACGGUCCACGGGUCAACGGAAGCGGACCCCAUGUGUCAACCGAGGCGAGUGGCCGACAAACGGACUCCACCAGACACCACGCGGGCUGCACACGUGGAAACCACGCGGCUACCGAGUGGGCACACAAACACGGUCACCACACGCACACAUGAACGACUACCGACACCGGUACACGGGUACCGGGGUCGACAACCGCACAACGGGCACGGGGCGACACUAAAAGGACAGAGGACGGAGUAGUGAGAGGAGGGAUCCUUACCACCAUGUGACGAGGCGCAGAACGACGACGACGAACGGGCACGGCGGACACAACUCGGGGACAACGAAGACGAACGGCGAGGGGACGACUUCGGCGGCGAUCCUUGGACGGAGGCGAGACGAGGCCGGCGCAAUGCUUGACGAUGCGGAGCCGAGGACGAAGACGAUGACGGGGCUGCAGCGGCUCGCUUGACGAACCACGGGCGGAGAACACGAUCGGCUUCACGGAGGGACGAACGCCACGACGACCGGGAACGACGAGAAGACGACGACGACCGGGGCUGGCGAGGAGGUGACGAGGGCAGCCUGCAGCAGCUGCACGGAUGCAAGGACGGCGUGGAACACGCCACUGCGAUGCCAACGACAGAGGCGGCGCCGCGAGACGAUGAGCCGGCGAGGACGAACGGCCGACCGGAAGAGGACGUCGACGAGGACGGUCGAUGACGACGACGAAGACCGGCGGGGUUCGGGAGGAAGGGAGGCGAGGCCAAGGGCGACCUUGCCGCUGCGAUGCCGAGGAAGACGGCGACGUCGGCCGGCACACGGGCACGGAGGAAGGAGCGGCCGAAGGAAACGUCGAUGAGGAGGAAGGGGAGACCGGCGCGGCGACGGCGGUCUCCGGACGAAUCCGAGGGCAGGCCGGGGUGGAGGUCGAUGCCGCGGUACCGAAGAAGGAGAUGGCGACGUCGGCCGGCGCUCUGGCGCGACGACCGGGGCGACUGGAGGCGGUGAAGUGGCGGCAACGCCACUGGACGUCGACGAGGACGCACCUCCGGCGGUCACCACGUGAAACGGAGGGCAGGCCGGGGGAGAGGAGGCGGCUGCGACGCCGAGGAUGGCGACAGCACGGUCUACAGGUGCACGGGCAAGGAGGGGGAGGCGGCUAGAGGUGGCCGGCGGAAUGAGAGAGAGAGAGGGAAGAGGCGGGGAGAGCUGGUGCAGCCACGGGGAGACGCGGGAGGAGGCUAAAACGAGAGAACGGAGGAAGGGGAUUCCAUUUUAUAGUGGAGGGGAACGAGCCGGCCACGGGAGGAGCGGGGAACGGCGGCGGGAUUGGUGGCCGGCGGCCAUGGAAGGUGGCCAUGAAUGGCGCGGCCGUUCCGGGUGCAAUGAUGCGCGAUUGAUGAGGGAAAUUAUGGGGAAUUGAAGAGGAAGGAAAGGGAAUUAAUUCCCUCAAAUCAAUUUUGGAAUCCCAUGCUUGAAUCGCGUGGAUUUGAGGGAGCAAGGAACUAGGGUUUUCACGGGAGGGAAAGAGAGGAGCCGGCGGGAGGAAGGAGACGCGCCUGGCAGGCGGGUCCCACUAGGGAGGCGCGGUCAACGCGCGUGCGCGGGAGGGUUGUGGCUCGGCUUGGGCCAGGACAGGCCCAGGCGGGAGGAGGAGAGGAGGGAGUGGGCCAGGAAGGAGAGGAGGAGGGAGUAGGCCGGUCCAAAGGGAAAAAGGAAGAGAAGGAGAGGGGGAGAAAGAAGACUUCGGCCGCGGGCCGAGAGGGAGAGGGGAGAAACCUUGGGCCAGACUUGGCCCAAAGGGAAGGAGAGGGUUAUUUUUAGUUUUUCUUUUUAAUAAACUCUUAUAAUUGUUUUUGUUGCUUAAUAAUUAUUUUCGGUGCUCUGAAAAUUCAAGUAAAAUUUGAGGGCUCAUUUUAGACCAAGGAGAAUUUAACAAAAAUCCUCCGGACCACAUUCGAAUUAUUCUUAUACGCAUUUUAAGGUUUGCUAAUUUCUUUUCGAAUUUUAAUUAAUUCUAUUAUUCAUUUUAGAGAAUUAUUUUUAUUUCGGGAUGAAUUUAUCAGGACGUGACAGCGCCCGAUCGGGAGGGGAUAAAAUCGGGCGCUGACGUCAGCGCCCGAUUUACGUGUAAUAUUGCUUUAAACUGAUUUUUCUCUUAAAUUACUUAUCCAAAUCAUGAUCUGAUUGCACCAUUAAAUUCGUUGCAAUUAAAUCUUCAAAACAAUACCACACAUGGAUAUAUUCCGACGAAAAUAAUUUAGCUAAUUAUUGAAUUUUUUUUUAAAUGUUGCACGAUGUUCCACGAGGUAUAUCGGAAUUGUUUCACUAAGUAGAUCGAAAAUGUUUCACUUGUUUAAAUCGGACGUUGUUUCACCUUAUAUGAAAACAAUGUUUUAGCAAAUAGCAAAAGAAUGUUUCAGUUCACUGCAACAUUAGAUCUAUACAUAGUAAAACAUUGUGAGUACACUAGAUGAAACAUUUUUCGGUGGAACAAAAAAAUAAACCAAAUUCUCUUAAUAAGGGGUUUCCAAAAUAUGUGGGUUAUUUGUUGCAAUUGAGUAUUUCAGUUCACUGCAACAUUAGAUCUAUACAUAGUGAAACAUUGUGAAUGCACUAGAUGAAAUAUUUUUCGGUGGAACAAAAAAUAAACCAAAUUCCCUUAAUAGGGGGUUUCCAAAAUAUGUGGGUUUUUUUGUUGCAAUGAAGUAUUUCAGUUCACUGCAAUAUUAGAUCUAUACAUAGUAAAACAUUGUGAAUGCACUGUAUAAAACUUUUUUGGUGGAAAAAAAACCAAAUUCUCUUAAUAGUGGGUUUUCAAAAAUAUGUAGGUUUUUUUGUUGUAAUAGAGUUGUUUGUGUGUGGACACGUGGUGGGCCAGGGGGAGGGGGCGGGGGAGCGCCCGAUUUUUCCUCGCCCCGCCCGGUCGCCCGAGCGUAAUCAUUAUCAUAAAACCUUUAUGUAUCGGUACCUAAUUAUUACCUAAUUAAAAAAUAGGUAAAGGUUUUGGUCCGUCUUUUUGUCUCGCUGAUUUUUUAUCACGUCUCUGGUUUUUUUCUUCGUCUAGCUUUUUUCGUUGUUUUUUCCAAUCAAGCUUCGGUUUUUUGUCCGGUUUUUUCCGGGGUUGUUUUUUCGAUCUACUCGUCCGAUCGGUUGCACGCGCGCAGCGGCCCAAACCCAAGCCCCCACCGUCACAUCGAUUUAUCUCCCCAUGUGUUUUCUCCUUAAAUAAUUGCAAAAAUCGAUUCCCCACUCCCUUAUUCUUUUUCUCACAAUUUCCCCUUUCAAUUUGGUUUUAAUUCGCUGUUUACUCCCAAUUGCCCAUGAUGGCUGGCCGACAAGCUUCUCCGUUGUUUUUCCCUUAGUUUUGCAGAUUCACUCCGAUUUUGAGACAAAAAAGGGGAAAAAGAUCGAGUGGAUCAAAAGCCCUUAAUCAAUUUUGGGAGAUCGAUAAUGAUUCGGCUAGAUUUGAUGGGGGGAUCAACAACGAUUUGGCUAGAUUUGAUGGGGGAUCGGCUCCGGUAUGAAGGCACAUGACUGUCUUUUGAAGGUUGAAGACGAUAGUCGGUUGUGUGAGCUAGGUAUAUAAUAUGCUCAAAGAUAGCCAACCGAGCAGAUAGAGGUAGCGGACUGGGCUGGGGUUGAAAAGGAAAGAAAGAAUGUGCUUUUGGUCCAAAACCAAGAAAUAAUUUUUAUUAACUUUUCAAUUAUAAUAUAUAGUUAUUCUAAUAUUUCCAUUUAUCGCUCAACUCCUAAUAGCUGUUAUAUCACCGAAAAAUGUCUUUACCCGUUGCAACGCACCGGCAAUUUUUCUAUGAAUAUAAUUUAAAAUGAAUUGAAAUUCAGAAUUAAAAUGAAGAACUAUUGAAAGAAGAAUCCAUAUAAGAACCCAAUACGAGAUUAAUUAAAAUUGAGAAUAAAAAAUAAAAUAAUAUCCAAAUUUAUAAAAAUUAAAAGAGAGUUUCAAGUGGGAAUACAAUUUUGAAACAACUAAAACUGAAAAUAAAAAAUAAAAAUAUUAAAGGAACACAAUACGGUAUUAUUAAAAUAUAAAAUAAAAUUUUUGAAAUUAGAAAAAGAAAAAUAUUUCAAUUAUGAAUAUAAUUUAUAAAUAACUAAAAUUGGUGAUAAAAAAAAGAAUAUCUCUACCAUUAUAAAAAUUGAAGAUGUUUUUAUUAACAUUUUGAUACCUCAAUCGGUUUUAAUCACUAUCUCUACUUACUUAAAAGAAAAAAAGAAAAAGAAAGUCCGACUUGUCAGGGUUAUGGAUACCACAUACCUAAUAAUAGUAGUUGACUAAAUCUCGGCGGAACCCACCACAUACCAUGUCUUAUACGGAAACAACCUUCGGAUAUAGAAGAAGUUCCGUAUAAGGAAAGAUGAAUAGAGUUCUACAUGUAAACGACAAGGACUACUCGAAUUAUAUCCAUAUUGGUUUCCCUAGUUCUACUUGGACAAGGGGACACCUAUGGGUAUAAAUACAAGGCCCCUAGGAGGAGAGGAGACACAAAACAACAUAAGCCACAACAUACAAGCCAACAUGUGCCAAGACAAGAUGCCGGAUAUCGACUUUAGAGAUAAGCAUGGCUAGUCCCCUACAGUGUCUACGGAUGCUGUCAGGAGAGAUAUAGCCUUGUCUUUGAUCUCGCCGGAUGCGGAUUCGAGGAGGAAGCUACCUUGUUGCCGACUACGUGAUGAUACUUCAGUCCGCCAUGGCGACAACAGUUAAAUAGGCUACCCAAAAUAUUAUACUUGUGUGAUUAUGGUGAAUAAGAGCAACGACCGGCUUCGGCCAACAGGAGUAGGGCUAUUACCUGACAAUUCAGGGGCCCGAACCUGUAUAAAAAUCAUCGCCUCCGUCUUUUUUACUACAAUCUCGCAUAUAUCCUAGUACCAACGAUCCUCAUACUAUGCAAAUACCGGAAUCGCGACAUCAAACGUCGACACGACUCAAAACGGUAAAAACAAGAAAAAAAAAUGGAACCAAAAUGCGAUAAAGAAAAGCUUCUUUCGUCAGUAAAAAAUCGUCCUGACUCCCGUAAAUAAAAAAAGGAAAAAAAAUAGUCACGCCAGUAAAAAAAGUCAGUUUGGUUUGUUUUUUUUUUGCUCCGGUAAUUUUUUUUUGUUUUUCUAUGUGCGAAAGAGUUUUUUUUGCACGCACGCUCUUGUUUUUUUUUCCAUUUCUUUAAUCCGAUAUGUUCAGCGCGCGUCUCUGAUGCUAUUGGUUGUUUUCGUCAAUUUUUGUCACUGGUUUUUUCUCCCGUGCGCCUUUGGUUUCUCAUACGAUUUUUUAAUCCAGCCUAUUCGCCACAUGCCUCUUGACUUGAACCCUUGCGUCGCGCCACCAUAUCAAUCGCGCGUUUUCUCCGUCAAAUUGAUUGUAAAAAUCGAUUCUCCAGUCCUCCCUCAUCAUUUUCUCCAUUUUCACCGGAUUUAAUCCAUUAAAUAUUUGCCGAUGAUGAUAGCGAUCUUCCCAUAUUAACAUUUUUAGUUAUAAUCUAUAGCGAUCCCAAUGUUAUAAUUUUCAUUAACCUUUUCUAUUGUAAUGUAUAGUGAUCCCAAUAUUUUAAUUUAUUGCUCGGCUCUUAAUAUAUCACUAAAAAAAUGUUUUUACCCGUUGCAACGCACGGGUAUUUUUUCUAGUUGAUAUAAAAGACUAUCUAAAACACAUGGCGAUAUAAAUUAAGUAACAUGCUUAUAAAGGAGUAGAGUGGUGGCGGUUGAUACGACGUAUAAAAACUGUAAAUAAAACACCAAAUAUAAUCCUAAUAAUGAUUAAAAGGAUGGACGACAGACAGGCCGUGAAGCAAACGGGCAAGACGGUUGCCGGAAUUUCUAGAAAGUAAAAAAUAAAUAAACUCCAUUGAUAAUCAUAUUCGAUUUUUAAAAUCUCAAUAACAAUAAAAAGGAGAAGCAAUGGGCGGGGUGUAUAGGAGUAAAGUUGAAGAGCCGCCGACGAUUGGCGGGACUUCUAGAAAAUAAAAAAUGAAUUCCAAUGAUAGUUAUGUUUGAUUUUUAAAAUCGCAAUCAUAAUAAAGAGUAGACGGUGGACGAGCCGUAGAGUAGCAUAGUGGCAUCAUUUGACAGGACUUCAAAAAAUUUUAAAAAAUAAAACCUAACAAGACAAUAAACUCUAAAAACUACGAGGACCAACUUUUAAAGGUUCGGAACUUGUAAAAGGUGAAAAAAACCAAUGAUAAUCAUGUUCGGUUUUAAAAUCUCAAUGACAAUACAGAAGAGAGGCAACGUGCGAGCCGUAGAGGAGUACAAUGGCAAAUCAGCUGACGGUUUGGCGGAACUUCUAGAAAGUAAAAAAAAUAAACCCAAACAUUAAUUAUGUUAGAUUUUUAAAAUCCCAAUGACAAUAAUGACAAGAGAUAGUGGACGGGUCGUAAAAGAGUAUAAUGGCAGCGUUUGAUGGGACUUGUAGAAAUUAUAAAAACGAAACCCAACGAGACGACAAACUCUAAAAACUAUAAGAUCCAAUUUUUAAAGGUUCUAAGGAGAAUGAAUAGAAAUAGUGGUAGAUCGAGCAAGUAAGUAAAUAAAGAAGGAGAUGACAAAAGUAAGGGGUAGCAACUGGUGUGACUUCUAAAAACACGGGGAUGAAAAUAUUUGGUCUUUUAAAAUCUUAAGACAACGAGAUAGCUACUUAAUAAAUUUUAAGUAAAAUCAUAAAAAAUAUAUAUAUGAUUUUGUAAGGGUGCUAGCCACGCAAUUACGCGGGCCACCCAGCUAGUUUUGUAAAAAGAAAACAUCCAAACCAACGUACAAACACACAUAAUAGUUUUGGAUCAUACUAACGAAUGUACGCAUAUGUACUAUACGUACAUCCCAUCUGUUACCUCCUUAUUUUUUAUUUUAAGAAGACAAAAAUCAAAAUUACUUUUACAUGAAAAAAAUCACAAAUAUGAGAAAUAUUAGGUCUAGCAGCUCUCCCUCCGUCACUUUAAAAAUCCUAUGAAUGCAUCUAAAUCUCUACGUGGUGCUAUUAAAUUAAAGAAAUUACUAGAAUUUUCUUUAAAAAAAUACAAAGCAACCGACCAUCAGUUUCUACUUGAAUUGAUGCAUUUAGGUUGUUAUAUUAAACCUCUUUCCAUCCCUCCCUCCCUCCCCACCCCGUGCCGUGUUAAAAUCUAUUAAACAUUUUAUAAACACCUCUAAGCUACUAUAUGACAUUCUUAAAUCAAAGAAAAUUUUAGAAAUUUCAGAAAAAAAGACUAUUAUAUACUCCCUCCAUCCCAUAAUAUAAGCAUGUUUAGCAUAAUAUCAUGUCAACCAUUUUUAACUUUAACUAUUAAUAGAAAAAGAAAUAAAAAGUAUCAAUCAUGAAAAAUUGAUAAUACUAGAUUUAUCAUUAAUCAAACUAUCAUAGUAUGUAACUCUUUUUAUUUAAAACAUCCUAUUUUUAUAGAUAUUGUUGGUCAAAGUAGCAUCUCGAAGACUGUGUCGAAAUAAAAAAUACUUAUAUUUUAGGAUGAAGGUUGAACUAAAAGUCCAUUAAACAUCGUAUAAAUACUUCUGAGCCGCCAAGUAACACCUUACAAACGCUCCUAUGUCGCCAAGUGACACUCUAAUACGAUCAUCGAUUUUCACUUAAAUUGGUGGAUCUAUUAUUUUAUUUUCGAAGUUAGAUUUUUUUAAAAAAAAACACACACAUUUAGAACCUCCCCGUCACAUACGUACCAGCGAGUUAUCUUCAUGAGAAAUUAAAAUCAAUAUUAUUUUUACAUUAAAAAACCGCAAACGCUUUUACACAUUUGGGUCUAGCAGCUCUCGCUCUCUCGUUCUAAACAUGCUACAAACACUUUUAAUCUGCUAUGUGGUGCUAUUAAAUUAAAUAAAAUACUAGAAAAUCUUAAAAAUGAAUAAAGCAUUAGACUAUUGAUUUGUUAGUUUUUUUAAUAAGAAAAAACUCUAAGCUGCUAUAUGACAUUCUUAAAUUAUAGUAAAAUCUUAGAAAUUUUGGAAAACAACAUCCAACCAUCGGAUUUGACAUAAAUUGAUGGACACAUUAUUUUAUGUCAUUAGAUCUUUUUUAAAAUCUAACAAAAUUUAAUAAUAAUCUUUAGACCAACCGGGACUAAAAAUCAAAGAAUACGCCUGGGCUUUUGAACCAGGACGAAAAAUAAUUUUUAGUCACGGUUUUCUGAGCAACCGGGACUAUUGUGAUUUUUGUCCGACUGGGCAAAGAUGGUUUCUCCAAUAAUGUAUGGUUGUAGUAGUGUUACCUCACUGGGUGAAUUUGAAGAAAAAAACACACAAUUUCAAUAUGCCAGAAUGAAUCUCUACUAUUAUAAAAAUUGAAGAUGUUUUUGCCGGUAUUUUGGUACGUCAUCCGUGUAUGAGUCGGUUUUUAGGUUUGUUCUUUUUGGAAAUAUAAAUCCGUGUUUGAAUCGGAUUUUAACUUCGAUUGCUUUUGGAAAUAUAAAAGGAGUCAUAUAAUAAAUCUUAAGUUGAAAGUCGGACUCCUAAUUGCAUCUCAUGAUUUUUUUAAAAAAUAUUCGAGCGAAUUCCAGCGGUGAAUUUCACCCUAACUAUACCGUAUAACAAUCAUAUGAUUAAAAUAGCAUUCACCCGUUGCAACGCGAGGGCAUUUUUCUAGUAUAAUAUAAAAAAUUCAGUCAUUAAGCUAAUUGAGCCCAACGUAAUCGAAAAAAACGUAAAUGCCGCGCAAAAUCAGUAUAUGGUAUUAGAAUUUGAUUUUCAAAGUGCCAGAAUUGUUCCAAAUCAACGGAAACAGUUUGUCCUGUAGUAAUCCUUGCAACAGGUUCAAGUCAAUUCCAUCACCUGUUUAGAAGUUUGAACUUUCGUAGCGAUCCAGAUCCCCUGCUUUUACACUAGCAGGGAAACACGACAACAACAUCGUGGUAAAUCCGCUACAGCGUUGUGCGCCGAAACAGCUGUUUAUCACUGUAGCGACCGAUCGAUCGAAGUUAUUCUCCACUAACUUCUUAAGCUUAACAUACGAAGAUGCCUCAUCAUCAUCUACUAAUUAAUAAGAUGUAUAUCAUCAUCCACUAACCAUCAUCACAUUUAAAUAAUAUCUAUAUAGUUUUUAUAAUUUAAGAGCUUUUCAAAUACAAACAUGUUAAAUUAUCAUCCGACAUAAUUCAUAUAAUGUUUCAAUGUAUAUCUUUAUUAUGUUUUAUGAUAUCCUAUAUACUUAUAUAGUUCAUCCUCACUUAAUUCUUAAAUGAUUAAUCUAUGGUCCAAAUUAUUUUUCUCCUUUUUUCCUCUAAUUAAAUCAUAUCACAUCAACUGUUUUUAGCAUUUAGAUGAUUAAUCUACCGUCCAAACUAUCUCCCUACUUUUCUUCUUCCAUAAAGUCAUACCACCUUACUUUUUACGUUUGAAUCAUCAUUCUACAUACUAUUUAAAUUUAAAUUAUCAUAAAUCAUAUUAAUUUACUCAAUCUGAUGUUAUCUAGCUAUCUUAUAUGUUAUUUUUUUAUUGUUAUUUUUUUUAUUGUUAUUAUACUAAAUUUCCACAGCAAUGUGUGGGGUUUCACCUAGUAAUAAUAAGGCUAAUGAUAUCUCACGCACAACGUCGCACGCCUCGCACUCGAAUCUUCCGAGAUCCGUUGAUGAGAUAAACCAAACAGUAGUGUGCAUCUACGGAUCUACCGGAUGAUACGUCCUCCUCAUUGAUAUCGACGUGUUUCACCGUUGCAACCGCCCCCGAUUUUGAUUGGGACUCUCUCCGGGGCACGUCUAAUGGACGGGUGAUCGUCCCCCUACCCCCUCCUCUCUCUCUCUCCCCUCUCCCUCCUCCCUUUCUUCUCUUCUUACUAUAUUCUCUUCUUACUACAGUAAACCACUAAAUUUUUUUUAAAAAAACAAAAAGUUAGAAAAAUUUAUGUAUAGAAAUAUUAUAUAUAAAAAAUUUGAAUUCAAAUUCAAAUUUGAAUCGGGUAUGUAAACUUUUGACUUAUAAACUUUGGGUCUAUAAACUUUAGGUGUAUAAACUUUAGAUGUAUAGAAAUACUAUAUAUGAAAAAUAUUUGAAUUCAAAUUCAAAUUUGAAUCGGAUAUUUGAAUUCAAAUUCAAAUUUGAAACGGGUAUAUAAACUUUUGACUUAUAAACUUUAGAUCUAUAAACUUUAGGUGUAUAAAUUUUAGAUGUGUAGAAAUACUAUAUAUAGAAAAUAUUUGAAUUCGGAGAGAGGGGGGACCCGAUCGCUACCCCAUCGGCUGGGCGAUCGAUCGCCCAUUAGAGGUUUCGCUCUCUCUGGCCCCUAUAGGCUACGAAUUUAAAUAGUAGUAUAUCCAGAUUCAUAAUACUAACAUAUAUUUUAUCUAAUUAAAAUUUCUUACUACUCCAUGCUAAAAUAUAAACCUAAAACGGAAUUGCUAACCUCCUACCGACAGAAAUUGCAUCUCUAAAUCUUGUAGAUUUUAGGUCACUGGAUGAGCUUCGAGAUUCGUACUCUAGACCUUCUCCUUCAACUCCAGCGACCUUCUCUUCUCCUCCGGCGCCAGCGACACCCUAGACUCUAGCAGAGGACCCCUACGGGUUAGAGUCUCGGGGUGGGGUGGGGGUGGGAGGGGGAAGGGGAGGAGAUCGCUGGCUUAGAGGGAUGACCAGGGGAGGCAGUGGGCCAGCGGCGGCGUCGGUGGCGGGGCAUCUCGCCGCCGACGGCUCGAGGAGGAAAGGAGGGUCUCGCCGGCGCCGUUGACGUCCCCCGGCCAGCCGAUGAGGCGGGCGGCGGCACAGCGGGGCGGUGGCGGUGGGGGAUCAGGUGGAGGAAUAGCGAUGGGAGGGGUGGUGGUUGAAUACGCGUGACAGUAGGGGAACGGGAAGGGUUAAUGCCUCUGCACGAAUCUUAAAGUGCAUCUAAUGAUCCAAAAUUUGAAAGAUGAGAGAUGAGAUUUUCUGUUAAUAGAUAUGUAGACAGUCCCUAUAUGAAAACAGUAUUAAAUAAAACAUUUACUAGUAAAAUCAAUCUAUAUAUGAAGUAUGCCUAGAGUAUUGUAAAACGUUUUAUUUAAUUCUAGGUUUUUAAUUUUGGGACGAAGAUAGUACUAACUAUAUUUUGUAACGGAGAGAUUGUUUUUGUUUGGUUCGGUGUGACUCGCCGUUUCGCCACAAUAAAUAUCCCACCCAUCCAUCCACCGGAGGACACUACAACGCCAAAGCACUGCACUGCACAAGCAGCUUCCUCGCCUUCGCAUCUACUACUCCCCCCAAAAUGGCGCAUCCGGUGGCUGAGGCCGACGAGAAGAGCCCCUUCGGCCGCCUCACCGCGGAGGAGUUCUACGCGCGCCACGGCGUGCUGCACACCUCCUCCACCUUCGUCAACCCGCGCGGCCUCCGCAUCUUCACCCAGCGCUGGGUCCCCGCGGGGGGCGACGCGCCCCUCCUCGGCGCCAUCGCCGUCGUCCACGGCUUCACGGGGGAGUCCAGCUGGACGGUGCAGCUCACCGCCGUCCACUUCGCCA
Molecule: long non-coding RNA, 36079 nt
Filed under: Oryza sativa (Asian cultivated rice)
Lineage: Eukaryota; Viridiplantae; Streptophyta; Magnoliopsida; Poales; Poaceae
Description: long non-coding RNA (OSAT_LNC000336)
Source: RNAcentral